UGAGCCUUCCCGUCUCCCUCUGUUGGA
This 27-nucleotide non-coding RNA is filed under the name Mus musculus (house mouse). Lineage: Eukaryota; Metazoa; Chordata; Mammalia; Rodentia; Muridae. The record is from RNAcentral.